Molecule: long non-coding RNA, 267 nt
Organism: Hibiscus syriacus
Lineage: Eukaryota; Viridiplantae; Streptophyta; Magnoliopsida; Malvales; Malvaceae
Exons: 3
Source: RefSeq, a predicted model, not a curated record
UUAAAUAUAAACGUAACAAAGAAUCUCGCUUAGUCUCAGCCCAGAUUUUCAUCCAAAAUAUUGACAGAAAAUUAAGAAGCUAGAGAGAAAAUUGAGGGAAACUGGGAAGGUGGUAUGUGUAACAGGAGCAUCAGGCUGCAUAGCUUCAUGGCUGGUUAAGUUCUUACUACAACGGGGUUACACUGUCAGAGCCACUGUUCGUGACCCAAGUCACCCAAAAAAGUCAGAACAAAUGAUGCAUCUUGGAAGCUUUACUUUGAUGGAGCA